This 426-nucleotide ribosomal RNA is filed under the name uncultured bacterium. RNAcentral's name for it is "bacterial SSU rRNA". It matches the Rfam family "Bacterial small subunit ribosomal RNA", at positions 355 to 772 of the family's 1533-position model. The record is from RNAcentral.
UGGGGAAUUGUUCGCAAUGGGCGUAAGCCUGACGACGCAACGCCGCGUGGAGGACGAAGAUCUUCGGGUCGUAAACUCCUUUCGAUCGGGAAGAACGCCUUCCGGGUGAACAAUCCGGAGGGGUGACGGUACCGAGUGAGGAAGCCCCGGCUAACUCUGUGCCAGCAGCCGCGGUAAUACAGAGGGGGCAAGCGUUGUUCGGAAUUACUGGGCGUAAAGGGCGCGUAGGCGGCCUGUUAAGUCGAACGUGAAAUCCCCGGGCUCAACCCGGGAACUGCGUCCGAAACUGGCAGGCUCGAAUUCGGGAGAGGGAUGCGGAAUUCCAGGUGUAGCGGUGAAAUGCGUAGAUAUCUGGAGGAACAUCGGUGGCGAAGGCGGCAUCCUGGACCGAUAUUGACGCUGAGGCGCGAAAGCCAGGGGAGCAAA